Molecule: ribosomal RNA, 562 nt
Filed under: uncultured Pseudomonadota bacterium
Lineage: Bacteria; Pseudomonadati; Pseudomonadota
Description: bacterial SSU rRNA
Rfam family: Bacterial small subunit ribosomal RNA
Source: RNAcentral
GUGAGUAAUGUCUGGGAAACUGCCUGAUGGAGGGGGAUAACUACUGGAAACGGUAGCUAAUACCGCAUAACGUCGCAAGACCAAAGAGGGGGACCCUCGGGCCUCUUGCCAUCGGAUGUGCCCAGAUGGGCAUUAGCUUGUUGCUGGGGUAACGGCUCACCAAGGCGACGAUCCCUAGCUGGUCUGAGAGGAUGACCAGCCACACUGGAACUGAGACACGGUCCAGACUCGUACGGGAGGCAGCAAUGGGGAAUAUUGCACAAUGGGCGCAAGCCUGAUGCAGCCAUGCCGCGUGUAUGAAGAAGGCCUUCGGAUUGUAAAGUACUUUCAGCGGGGAGGAAGGGAGUAAAGUUAAUACCUUUGCUCAUUGACGUUACCCGCAGAAGAAGCACCGGCUAACUCCGUGCCAGCAGCCGCGGUAAUACGGAGGGUGCAAGCGUUAAUCGGAAUUACUGGGCGUAAAGCGCACGCAGUCGGUUUGUUAAGUCAGAUGUGAAAUCCCCGGGCUCAACCUGGGAACUGCAUCUGAUACUGGCAAGCUUGAGUCUCGUAGAGGGGGGUA